AGCUCCAAUAGCGUAUAUUAAAGUUGUUGCAGUUAAAAAGCUCGUAGUUGGAUUUCUGUGAGAGUGCCUGCCUCGGCUCUGAUGCUUGUGGGCAGCGCUCUUACAUCCUUCUGUUAACUGUUCUUGGCUUUCAUUUGCUGGUUCAGGGCUCAGAUAUUUUACCUUGAGAAAAUUAGAGUGUUUCAGGCAGGCUUAUGCACGGAAUACAUUAGCAUGGAAUAAUGGAAUAGGACCUGUGCGUCUCUCGGGGCGCCGGUCUCUGUUGUUGGUUUCGGGGACUAAAGUAAUGAUUAAUAGGGAUAGUUGGGGGCAUUAGUAUUUAAUAGUCAGAGGUGAAAUUCUCGGAUUUGUUAAAGACUAACUUAUGCGAAAGCAUUUGCCAAGGAUGUUUUCAUUAAUC
RNAcentral lists this ribosomal RNA (400 nucleotides) under phytoplankton environmental sample. RNAcentral describes it as "partial small subunit ribosomal RNA". It matches the Rfam family "Eukaryotic small subunit ribosomal RNA", at positions 587 to 978 of the family's 1831-position model. The record is from RNAcentral.